Molecule: long non-coding RNA, 555 nt
Filed under: Homo sapiens (human)
Lineage: Eukaryota; Metazoa; Chordata; Mammalia; Primates; Hominidae
Description: HSALNT0352960
Source: RNAcentral
AGUUAUUCAGGGAUCCAGGCUCACUCCAGCAAGAAGGAAAGAGUGGGGACAGUUGGCUGCCUGUGCAACUCUCCAGACUAGAAAGAGACCAUUACACAUGUUGUAAAGCCCAGAGGAAUAGUUUUCUGCACAUCUUGCCUGGCAAGUGCUCUUCUACAAUGUAAAACAAACUUCUCUGAAGUACAGAACUUGGUAAUAGCUAAACCCCGCUUGAAAGUAGAAAACGAAGUUCCAGAAAUAGAAGAAGGGCUUGGAAACAAGAAUGUGGGACUAUUAUCUUCCCCUGUGCUUCUUGAAGUUGGUGUGACUGUGAUCUGAUUUGGUCGACAUAAUGUGAGAAGUCUGUCACUUCCAAGCAGCAUCAUUUAAUUGCUGCUGCGUGCUUCUCUAUCUUCUCUUCUCUGUUGCAACAAAUCCUGGAGCCUUGUGACGAUCAUAAAAUGGGAACAUCUUUGUUAUCCCAGGUCCUGCACGGUAACUGUGUGAAGCACAGCCCUCACCCCUCUGGCUGGACAUGUUGCGUGAGCAAGAAAUAAAUCUUAGUUGUUCUAGGUC